CUUCUAGUAUGUGUCUGAAGACAGCUGCAGUGUACUCAUAUAAAUUAAAAAAUAAAUAAAUCUAAAAAAAAAAAAAAGACUGUGAAAGAGAUGCACAGAGGCAGAGCCCACAGUGGUCUCAAUCUGGCACCAAAAACUUGGAGGAUUCCUGAAGAACUUCUGUCCCUAAAUGUACGCUGGAAGCCUAAAGAAGGUGGCUCUAAUAUCAGCCCAGAAUGCAGUAAGAACAGGAGAUGGGCUUGCCUACUGGCAUGCAAAGCAGGACUUCCUUCUUUCACAGCCUCUGACCAUCUGGGCUGCAACCAACGAAAAGACACUGCCCACAUUUGUGGAUUUGUUGUUGUCUUUACCUUGCUUUUUCAGGACAGGGUUUCUCUGUAUAGCCCUGGAUGUCCUGGAACUCUCUAUACAGACCAGGCUGGCCUUGAACUCAGAGAUCUGCCUCCCUCUGCCUCCUGAGCGCUAGAAUUAAAGGCUUAUGCCACCACACCCUGCUGAUACUGCCCACUUUUAGGAAACAUCUUUCUGCUUCAAAUGAUCAGAUCAGGAAAAGUCUUUUGCAAGAGUGCCAGAGGUUUGUAUUGUUCCAGAUCCAAUCAAGUUGACAAAUAAGACCUGAGCUCCACCCCUGGGACCACCACAGCAGAAAGAUGAACGGGCUCCAACAAGUUUUCCUCUGACCUCCGUAGGAACCUUAUGGUACAUGCUUGGGGGUAUAUACUUAAGUGCUUGUGCACACACAAAAUGGAUAUAUUAAAAAGGAUUUUAAAAACCGUGA
Long non-coding RNA from Grammomys surdaster, 778 nucleotides. RefSeq lists it as uncharacterized. The record is from RefSeq and is a predicted model, not a curated record. The transcript has 2 exons. NCBI's taxonomy places the organism in Eukaryota, Metazoa, Chordata, Mammalia, Rodentia, Muridae.